GUUCCUUCAAUCUCUUGGAAGAGUCCAAGAUUUCUGGGACUCCUCAUCCCAACCUUAUUACAUGGCUAUAAAAAAGAAUUUAUUUGUUUCUUUUAUACAUGUAAGAUAGUAGAGAAGGAGUUCUCUAUGUGAGGAGGUUUUGGGGCAUGGUUCCAAUGCAUGAAAAAGAGGAGGAGAGUCCUCUCUCUUUGGGUUAGCACAAAAGCUGA
This 209-nucleotide long non-coding RNA is filed under the name Elaeis guineensis (African oil palm). RNAcentral's name for it is "long non-coding RNA (EGUI_LNC059624)". The record is from RNAcentral. Lineage: Eukaryota; Viridiplantae; Streptophyta; Magnoliopsida; Arecales; Arecaceae.